GCCCUAGUAGCUUAGUCAAAGCGCCGGUCUUGUAAUCCGGAGACGAGGGUUAAAACCCCCCCUGAGGCC
RNAcentral lists this transfer RNA (69 nucleotides) under Setipinna tenuifilis (common hairfin anchovy). Its description in RNAcentral is "tRNA-Thr". It matches the Rfam family "tRNA". Rfam says of the family: Transfer RNA (tRNA) molecules are approximately 80 nucleotides in length. Their secondary structure includes four short double-helical elements and three loops (D, anti-codon, and T loops). Lineage: Eukaryota; Metazoa; Chordata; Actinopteri; Clupeiformes; Engraulidae. The record is from RNAcentral.